Molecule: long non-coding RNA, 524 nt
Organism: Photinus pyralis (common eastern firefly)
Lineage: Eukaryota; Metazoa; Arthropoda; Insecta; Coleoptera; Lampyridae
Exons: 2
Source: RefSeq, a predicted model, not a curated record
UAAUCCAUUAUGCCUAUCACAUAACUCGUUGGCUUAUGAACUUUCCUUCACUUUCGUUGGUGUAUAGCCAAAACGACAUAGCAACCUUAGAGAAGGAAAGAUAGUCAAGAUAAGAUAGCAACGUCAUUGUUAAUAAAUAAUUACUGGUAUGGAUGGAGAUACUGACACACUACUCGUUAAGGUCGAACCAAAACAAGAAGAUGAAAUCCAUUCCUUCCUUCAGGGACACAUUUCAGUAAGCAACGAAGUUUUCGUAAAAAUAAAGGACGAAACUACCAUCACUACAUCGUGUUCUACAUCUCUUUGUAAUGAAGAACAGCAACACCUUUUAACUCCGGGUAAAAUCGUGACUAAAGAUUUUAAGUGUACCCAUUGUGAUUACGGGACAAAUGUUAAACGCAAUCUCACACGACACCUUUUACAGCAUAAAGUUUUUAAAGAUUUUAAAUGUGCAACUUGUGUCAAAUGUUAAAGGCUGCUUCAAACGACAUCUUUUAAAACAUAAGGUUUCUAAAGAUUUUAAA